UACGUAGGGUGCAAGCGUUGUCCGGAAUUAUUGGGCGUAAAGAGCUCGUAGGUGGCCUGUCGCGUCAGCUGUGAAAACUCGGGGCUCAACUCCGAGCUUGCAGUCGAUACGGGCAGGCUAGAGUUCGGCAGGGGAGACUGGAAUUCCUGGUGUAGCGGUGAAAUGCGCAGAUAUCAGGAGGAACACCGGUGGCGAAGGCGGGUCUCUGGGCCGAUACUGACACUGAGGAGCGAAAGCGUGGGGAGCGAACAGG
Molecule: ribosomal RNA, 253 nt
Filed under: uncultured bacterium
Lineage: Bacteria
Description: partial 16S ribosomal RNA
Rfam family: Bacterial small subunit ribosomal RNA
Source: RNAcentral